This 411-nucleotide ribosomal RNA is filed under the name uncultured bacterium. RNAcentral describes it as "bacterial SSU rRNA". It matches the Rfam family "Bacterial small subunit ribosomal RNA", at positions 370 to 772 of the family's 1533-position model. The record is from RNAcentral.
AAUGGGCGAAAGCCUGACGCAGCAACGCCGUGUGAGGGAUGAAGGCUUUCGGGUCGUAAACCUCUGUCGGAAGGGAAGAACGGGUGAGGGUCUAAUAGGCCUUCAUUUUGACGGUACCUUUAGAGGAAGCACCGGCUAACUCCGUGCCAGCAGCCGCGGUAAUACGGAGGGUGCAAGCGUUAUUCGGAAUUACUGGGCGUAAAGCGCACGUAGGCCGCUUUGUAAGUCAGGGGUGAAAUCCCACGGCUCAACCGUGGAACUGCCCUUGAAACUGCAGAGCUUGAAUCCUGGAGAGGGUGGCGGAAUUCCUGGUGUAGGAGUGAAAUCCGUAGAUAUCAGGAGGAACACCGGUGGCGAAGGCGGCCACCUGGACAGGCAUUGACGCUGAGGUGCGAAAGUGUGGGGAGCAAA